Homo sapiens (human) is the source of this 2085-nucleotide long non-coding RNA. The record is from Ensembl. NCBI's taxonomy places the organism in Eukaryota, Metazoa, Chordata, Mammalia, Primates, Hominidae.
UCCUGCUUUUCGGUGUGCUCUUCGAGGCCACCAUGAUCGACCCCACCGUGGCCUCCCAGCCCAUCAGCUUCGAGAUCUCCAUUGGUCGCGCAGGCCGUCUGGAGGAGCAAUUGGGCCGAGGGUCCAGGGCUGGGGAGGGAACUGAGGGUGCAGCCGUGGAGGCUCAGCCUCUGCUGGGAGCCAGGCCAGAGGAGGAGAAAGAGGAGGAAGAACUGGGGACCCAUGCUCAGCGGCCUGAGCCCAUGGACGGCAGUGGGCCAUACUUCUGCUUGCCCCUCUGUCACUGCAAGCCAUGCAUGCAUGUGUGGAGUUGCUGGGAGGACCACACCUGGCGCCUGCAGAGCAGCAACUGCGUGCGCAAAGUGGCCGAGAGGCUGGACCAGGGGCUGCAGGAGGUUGAGAGACUGCAGCGCAAGCCGGGGCCUGGCGCCUGUGCACAGCUCAAGCAGGCACUGGAAGUACUGGUGGCUGGGAGCAGACAGUUUUGCCACGGUGCCGAGCGCAGGACGAUGACCCGGCCCAAUGCCCUGGAUCGAUGCCGAGGGAAACUCCUGGUGCACAGCCUGAACCUUUUGGCUAAGCAAGGACUGCGACUUCUACGCGGCCUGAGACGGCGCAAUGUGCAAAAGAAGGUGGCACUGGCCAAGAAGCUCCUGGCAAAACUGCGCUUUCUGGCUGAGGAGGCACCCGGGGCAGCCCCUGGUGAGGUCUGUGCCAAGCUGGAGCUCUUCCUGCGGCUGGGCCUGGGCAAGCAAGCCAAGGCCUGCACCUCUGAGCUGCCCCCGGAUUUGCUGCCCGAGCCCUCAGCCGGGCUGCCCUCCAGCCUACACCGGGACGACUUUAGCUACUUCCAACUCCGGGCUCACUUGUACCAGGCCCGGGGUGUGUUGGCUGCAGAUGACAGUGGCCUCUCGGACCCCUUUGCUCGAGUCCUCAUCUCUACCCAGUGUCAGACCACACGGGUCCUGGAGCAGACGCUGAGCCCUCUGUGGGAUGAACUCCUGGUAUUUGAGCAGUUGAUCGUGGAUGGGAGGAGGGAGCACCUGCAGGAGGAGCCUCCAUUAGUGAUCAUCAAUGUAUUUGACCACAAUAAGUUUGGCCCCCCCGUGUUCCUGGGCAGGGCACUGGCCGCCCCAAGGGUAAAGCUGAUGGAGGACCCAUACCAACGCCCAGAGUUGCAGUUCUUCCCCCUGAGGAAGGGACCCUGGGCAGCCGGAGAGCUCAUUGCCGCCUUUCAACUCAUUGAACUAGACUACAGUGGCCGACUUGAGCCCUCAGUGCCCAGUGAGGUGGAGCCCCAGGAUCUGGCACCCCUGGUUGAGCCCCACUCUGGACGCCUGUCCCUUCCACCCAACGUGUGCCCAGUGCUCAGGGAGUUCCGUGUUGAGGUGCUGUUCUGGGGUCUUAGGGGACUUGGUCGUGUGCAUCUGCUCGAGGUGGAGCAGCCCCAGGUUGUACUGGAGGUGGCUGGGCAAGGUGUGGAGUCUGAGGUCCUGGCCAGCUACCGUGAGAGCCCCAAUUUCACUGAGCUUGUCAGGCAUCUGACAGUGGUGAGGCCACGGGCUAGGGGAAAAGGGGGGCAGAAUAGUGAAAGAGGGCAGUGGAUGGUGACUUUCUACCUGGUUAUCUUAGAUGAUCCAAGGGUCAGCAAACUCUCUAUAAUGGGCCAAAUAGUAAAUAUUUUAGGCUUUGAGAGCCAUCCAGUCUGUUGCAACUACUCAACUCUGCCAUCGUAGCAUGAAAACAGCCAUAGAUAAUAUGUAAAUGAAUAUUUACAAAAACUGACAGCAGGCCAGACUCUGUCUAUGGGCUGUAGUUUGCUGAUUCCUGGAUUAAUUCAUGGACUUGUGGUGCUCUCUAGGUGUUACUGUUAUUCAGACCUCUUGAACAAGCCUCUUUGAUUAUUUUCUGUCUAUCCAUUAUUGAGAAUAGGGUAUUGAAAUCUCCAGCUAUUACUAAUGAAUUGUGUAUCUCUCUCUUUAAUUCUAUAACUUUUUAGUUUUUGUAUUUUGAGGCUCUGUUGUUAGGUGCAUAUAUGUUUAUAAUUGUUAUAUCUUCUAGAUGAAUUGACCUGUUUACCAUUAU